GAUGAACGCUGGCGGCGUGCCUAAUACAUGCAAGUCGAGCGAACGGACGAGAAGCUUGCUUCUCUGAUGUUAGCGGCGGACGGGUGAGUAACACGUGGAUAACCUACCUAUAAGACUGGGAUAACUUCGGGAAACCGGAGCUAAUACCGGAUAAUAUUUUGAACCGCAUGGUUCAAAAGUGAAAGACGGUCUUGCUGUCACUUAUAGAUGGAUCCGCGCUGCAUUAGCUAGUUGGUAUGGUAACGGCUUACCAAGGCAACGAUGCAUAGCCGACCUGAGAGGGAGAUCGGCCACACUGGAACUGAGACACGGUCCAGACUCCUACGGGAGGCAGCAGUAGGGAAUCUUCCGCAAUGGGCGAAAGCCUGACGGAGCAACGCCGCGUGAGUGAUGAAGGUCUUCGGAUCGUAAAACUCUGUUAUUAGGGAAGAACAUAUGUGUAAGUAACUGUGCACAUCUUGACGGUACCUAAUCAGAAAGCCACGGCUAACUACGUG
This 497-nucleotide ribosomal RNA is filed under the name uncultured bacterium. RNAcentral describes it as "partial 16S ribosomal RNA". It matches the Rfam family "Bacterial small subunit ribosomal RNA", at positions 28 to 507 of the family's 1533-position model. The record is from RNAcentral.